Molecule: long non-coding RNA, 733 nt
Filed under: Trifolium pratense (red clover)
Lineage: Eukaryota; Viridiplantae; Streptophyta; Magnoliopsida; Fabales; Fabaceae
Description: long non-coding RNA (TPRA_LNC012694)
Source: RNAcentral
GAUGUAGAGUUUUGUCUUGGAUUCAAAGAAGAAGGCAUUUUAAGAAGACACCAUGUUUAUGUAGGAUUAGUGAAAGAAUUAGUGAAAAUAGAUAAUUUGUUAGCUUUUACAUCACCAACUUUCAGGUAUUUAUAAAAAUGGUGUUUUCUUCUUCAUAUUUUUUUUAAUGAUUUAUUUAUAUUUUUGCAUAACCUGUAUGAAAUCAACUGUAAUAAUCUAUUUGCACUUUGCAGGCCAAAAGAUUUGUAGACUAUUGGCUACUUUGGUCCUNNNNNNNNNNNNAUUAUUAUAUUAAGUAAGCUUAUUUACUAUGUCUUAAACACAACUUAUAUAUAGCUUCUAUGUGUUUUAAUUUAAAGUUUUAAUUUUCCAGUUCAAUGUGUUACAUGUGAAGUUGUAUAGUGUUACAUAGAAAUUGAUUGAUAUUUCUAAUUUCAAACAUGCGUUUGAAUCUGCUUGAAUAAUAAUUUAUAAUAUUUGAAUGGUUUGUCUACUUUAACUCCAUGCUCCGGGUUAGAUUAGAUGCGUUGAAGCCAUAGUCUCAUUUUGAAUCAGCUCCUUAAGUUUACAAUGACUACCAUAUUCAUUUUAUCUUUUUCCCAAGAUACCAUUCUUUUAAUUAUUUUAGUCACAAUCAUGUUUAUGUAUUUUGAAAUUUGGAUUCAAUCGUAUAAGCAUUGAUCUGAAACUUGCAAAAUUUCAGACUCAUUGUGCCUAAUUUAAUGUUUCCUUU